RNAcentral lists this ribosomal RNA (135 nucleotides) under uncultured marine bacterium. Its description in RNAcentral is "partial 16S ribosomal RNA". It matches the Rfam family "Bacterial small subunit ribosomal RNA", at positions 355 to 507 of the family's 1533-position model. The record is from RNAcentral.
UGGGGAAUAUUGCGCAAUGGAGGAAACUCUGACGCAGCCAUGCCGCGUGAGUGAAGAAGGCCUUAGGGUUGUAAAACUCUUUCGCUAGGGAAGAUAAUGACGGUACCUAGUAAAGAAGCCCCGGCCAACUCCGUG